GAGACGACCGGCGCACGGGUGAGUAACGCGUAUCCAACCUGCCCUUCAUAUUGGGAUAGCCUUCCGAAAGGGAGAUUAAUACCGAAUAACAUGAGAAGAUUGCAUGAACCUCUCAUGAAAGCUCCGGCGAUGAAGGAUGGGGAUGCGUUCCAUUAGGUAGUAGGCGGGGUAACGGCCCACCUAGCCGACGAUGGAUAGGGGUUCUGAGAGGAAGGUCCCCCACACUGGAACUGAGACACGGUCCAGACUCCUACGGGAGGCAGCAGUGAGGAAUAUUGGUCAAUGGGCGCAAGCCUGAACCAGCCAAGUAGCGUGAAGGAUGACUGCCCUAUGGGUUGUAAACUUCUUUUAUACGGGAACAAACCUUGGUACGUGUACCAAAUUGCGUGUACCGUAUGAAUAAGCAUCGGCUAACUCCGUGCCAGCAGCCGCGGUAAUACGGAGGAUGCGAGCGUUAUCCGGAUUUAUUGGGUUUAAAGGGAGCGUAGGUGGUCCGUUAAGCCAGCUGUGAAAUACUGUAGCUCAACUACAGCCGUGCAGUUGGAACUGGCAGACUUGAGUGCACUAGAGGAAGGUGGAAUUCGUGGUGUAGCGGUGAAAUGUUUAGAUAUCACGAAGAACUCCGAUU
Molecule: ribosomal RNA, 628 nt
Filed under: uncultured Bacteroidales bacterium
Lineage: Bacteria; Pseudomonadati; Bacteroidota; Bacteroidia; Bacteroidales
Description: bacterial SSU rRNA
Rfam family: Bacterial small subunit ribosomal RNA
Source: RNAcentral